This 433-nucleotide ribosomal RNA is filed under the name uncultured bacterium. RNAcentral's name for it is "partial 16S ribosomal RNA". It matches the Rfam family "Bacterial small subunit ribosomal RNA", at positions 29 to 507 of the family's 1533-position model. The record is from RNAcentral.
AGCGAACGCUGGCGGCAGGCCUAACACAUGCAAGUCGAACGAACUCUUCGGAGUUAGUGGCGGACGGGUGAGUAACACGUGGGAACGUGCCUUUAGGUUCGGAAUAACUCAGGGAAACUUGUGCUAAUACCGAAUGUGCCCUUCGGGGGAAAGAUUUAUCGCCUUUCGAGCGGCCCGCGUCUGAUUAGCUAGUUGGUGAGGUAAAGGCUCACCACGGCGACGAUCAGUAGCUGGUCUGAGAGGAUGAUCAGCCACAUUGGGACUGAGACACGGCCCAAACUCCUACGGGAGGCAGCAGUGGGGAAUCUUGCGCAAUGGGCGAAAGCCUGACGCAGCCAUGCCGCGUGAAUGAUGAAGGUCGUAGGAUUGUAAAAUUCUUUCACCGGGGACGAUAAUGACGGUACCCGGAGAAGAAGCCCCGGCUAACUUCGUG